This 292-nucleotide ribosomal RNA is filed under the name uncultured Planctomycetota bacterium. RNAcentral describes it as "uncultured planctomycete partial 16S ribosomal RNA". Lineage: Bacteria; Pseudomonadati; Planctomycetota. The record is from RNAcentral.
GGACUACCCGGGUUUCUAAUCCCGUUCGCUCCCCUAGCUUUCGUCCCUCAGCGUCAGAAAAGCCCCAGUGAGCCGCUUUCGCCACCGGUGUUCCUGAUGAUAUCAACGCAUUUCACCGCUCCACCAUCAGUUCCGCUCACCUCUGACUCUCUCUAGCCAAGUAGUUUUAAGCGCUAUUCCUCAGUUGAGCUGAGGGAUUUCACGCCUAACUUUCUUGACCGCCUACGGACUCUGUAAGCCCAGUGAAUCCGAAUAACGUUCGGGUGGUACGUCUUACCGCGGCGGCUGGCAC